This is a long non-coding RNA of Cyprinodon tularosa, 1480 nucleotides long. RefSeq lists it as uncharacterized. The record is from RefSeq and is a predicted model, not a curated record. NCBI's taxonomy places the organism in Eukaryota, Metazoa, Chordata, Actinopteri, Cyprinodontiformes, Cyprinodontidae. The transcript has 5 exons.
GCAGUUUUCAGAUGCAUCUCUCCUCCAACACACCAGGAUCAAACAAACAGCCUUUUACCAGACCUCUGCAGAGCUGAAUGACUGAUGAGGGAAUUCAGCCCUUUGAUUCAGGUCUGAUGGAGAAGAGAUGUGAAUAAAAACUGCAGCAUAGCAGCUCUGGUGGAGUGAAGUUUGAAAGCCUGAUCUAGAGUAGGACGAUGCUGCUGGGGACAAACUGGAUACAAUGGACAGUGACACAGCUUGUGGUGAUCAUCAGUUGAACUGGUCUCUGGGAUGUUGGUGAGAAGGUAGAGAGAUGACGCUAGGUGGGGCUAACUGAUUUAGUCAAGUUUGAGGCAGAGGACAGGACUCAUGUAGUGGUUUUGGUUGUGAGUGGCACCGACUGUUAGAAACAGCUUUCCGAUGUGACUUGGUCUAGUUCUAGAUGUUCCUCUGGUCAGUUAGUUUUCAGGCCUAGUUGGAGGGAAAAGAACCCUCUGCAGAAAUAUUCUCCAUAUGAUCAAGGCCUGUCCUGACCGCAGUGGAUCUCUUCUGUGUUUUUUGAAUCCCAUGUUGGAGCGAGCCUCUCCAAGCUUUGGGCCAUCAGAAGAUGCUGAUGAGAUCUGCAGCGACCAAACCAGCGGAGGAUCAUCUGAGCUGCCGACCUUCACAAAGAGUGAGAGCAUAUUCAACACUGUGGACGUCCAAAAGCAGAACUCCUGUGAGGAACCGGGACAUCCAGGACGGUGAGGAGCUUCCCAGUCCCCACCUGAGGACGGCACAGAGAAAGACUGGAACAGAAAACACACGGAGGAAAGCAGGUUGAACAUGGAAGCAGUGUUCUAGCAGUCGGAUCACAUCGGAACAGAGUCCAUCCACACGUGUUUGGAGGAGCUGAAGAAGAGGAUGAAGCACACAGACCGCUAAGGAGGAGAGACAUGGCUCCUAUAUUUCUCUUUAACAUUCUGGAGUCCUGGAGUAAAACAACGUUGACGACCCCGCAGCUAAACCAUCAGUCUGCUACACCCAGUAGAAGAAGAUGAGGUCAUCUGUUCCUUGGACCGGCGCCUCUGUGUCUGUUGGACGUCAAUAGAUGGGCUCUGACAUGGAGGUUCCUUCCUGUUUGAAGCUAGUUUUCCUCUCUACUGUGACCACUUCAUUGCUCAGGAGGGACUGCUGCAAAAUUAACGACCGGAUGUGAUUGGCUGAGCUUCCUUGGAUUGAAGACAUUUCUCUAAACUCCAUAAUAAGCUGAAUUUAUCUUCACCAUGUUGUAAAUAGGAUUGGACUGGACUGGAUGUUUGUUUUUCAAUUUGAUUCUGUUUGUGUUGAAUUCUGUUACAUGUUUCUGUAUUAAAGCUGUCAUGUUAAUUGCCUUUAGAUGACAUUUGUUGGGACUUGUUUCUAUUUUAUAAGACUGUAUUAUAAUAAAUCCCCCUACUGGGUCUGGUUCUGUUGAAGAAUGUUUCCUGUCGUUCUAUCUUCUGUUAUUUCUCACUAU